UCCCUGGUGGUCUAUGGGUUAGGAUUCAGCACUUCCACUGCUGUGGCUUGGGUACAAUUCCUGGUUUGGGAA
This 72-nucleotide transfer RNA is filed under the name Sus scrofa (pig). It matches the Rfam family "tRNA". From Rfam's summary of the family: Transfer RNA (tRNA) molecules are approximately 80 nucleotides in length. Their secondary structure includes four short double-helical elements and three loops (D, anti-codon, and T loops). Further hydrogen bonds mediate the characteristic L-shaped molecular structure. tRNAs have two regions of fundamental functional importance: the anti-codon, which is responsible for specific mRNA codon recognition, and the 3' end, to which the tRNAs corresponding amino acid is attached (by aminoacyl-tRNA synthetases). tRNAs cope with the degeneracy of the genetic code in two manners: having more than one tRNA (with a specific anti-codon) for a particular amino acid; and 'wobble' base-pairing, i.e. permitting non-standard base-pairing at the 3rd anti-codon position. The record is from Rfam by way of RNAcentral. Lineage: Eukaryota; Metazoa; Chordata; Mammalia; Artiodactyla; Suidae.